RNAcentral lists this ribosomal RNA (207 nucleotides) under uncultured delta proteobacterium. RNAcentral's name for it is "partial 16S ribosomal RNA". It matches the Rfam family "Bacterial small subunit ribosomal RNA", at positions 568 to 774 of the family's 1533-position model. Lineage: Bacteria; Deltaproteobacteria. The record is from RNAcentral.
CGUGUAGGCUGUUUUAUAAGUCUGAUGUGAAAGCCCUGGGCUCAACCUGGGAAGUGCAUUGGAUACUGUAAGACUUGAGUACGGGAGAGGGCAGUGGAAUUCCUAGUGUAGGAGUGAAAUCCGUAGAUAUUAGGAGGAACACCGGUGGCGAAGGCGGCUGCCUGGACCGAUACUGACGCUGAGACGCGAAAGCGUGGGGAGCAAACA